GACCUUAAAAACUUCUAGGGAAAGAGAUUCCACCACCUCCCUAGGUAAUUUGCCCCAGUAGCUUAACUACCCUCAUAGUUACCUUUUCCUAAUGUCUAACCUAAAUCUCUCUUGCUGCAAUUUAAGCCAAUUGCUUCUUGUCCUGCCCUCAGUGGUUAA
Molecule: long non-coding RNA, 159 nt
Organism: Chelonia mydas (Green sea turtle)
Lineage: Eukaryota; Metazoa; Chordata; Testudines; Cheloniidae
Exons: 2
Source: RefSeq, a predicted model, not a curated record